This 103-nucleotide non-coding RNA is filed under the name chicken gut metagenome. RNAcentral describes it as "SAM riboswitch (S box leader)". It matches the Rfam family "SAM riboswitch aptamer (S box leader)". Rfam says of the family: The SAM riboswitch is found upstream of a number of genes which code for proteins involved in methionine or cysteine biosynthesis in Gram-positive bacteria. The record is from RNAcentral.
UCUUAUUCAGAGAUGGUGGAGGGACAGUCCCAAUGAAGCCCAGCAACCUCACAUCAUGUGAAAGGUGCUAACUUGAAGCGAGGAAAUUCCUUGAACAAUAAGA